Molecule: ribosomal RNA, 462 nt
Filed under: uncultured Klebsiella sp.
Lineage: Bacteria; Pseudomonadati; Pseudomonadota; Gammaproteobacteria; Enterobacterales; Enterobacteriaceae
Description: bacterial SSU rRNA
Rfam family: Bacterial small subunit ribosomal RNA
Source: RNAcentral
CCUACGGGAGGCUGCAGUGGGGAAUAUUGCACAAUGGGCGCAAGCCUGAUGCAGCCAUGCCGCGUGUGAAGAAGGCCUUCGGGUUGUAAAGCACUUUCAGCGGGGAGGAAGGCGGUGAGGUUAAUAACCUCAUCGAUUGACGUUACCCGCAGAAGAAGCACCGGCUAACUCCGUGCCAGCAGCCGCGGUAAUACGGAGGGUGCAAGCGUUAAUCGGAAUUACUGGGCGUAAAGCGCACGCAGGCGGUCUGUCAAGUCGGAUGUGAAAUCCCCGGGCUCAACCUGGGAACUGCAUUCGAAACUGGCAGGCUAGAGUCUUGUAGAGGGGGGUAGAAUUCCAGGUGUAGCGGUGAAAUGCGUAGAGAUCUGGAGGAAUACCGGUGGCGAAGGCGGCCCCCUGGACAAAGACUGACGCUCAGGUGCGAAAGCGUGGGGAGCAAACAGGAUUAGAACCCGAGUAGUC